CUCCCUCAGACCUAUCAGAAUCCUUCCCUAUGCUAAUUGUUGCUUCCCUCCUCAGGAGAAGAACUGUGAGAGGAAAUGAAGUGCAAUGGAGGAAGCUUUGGACUAAGAAUAUGUAGACAUGAAAUCCAGCUCUUACUUUGAUACUUACUAGCUAUGAAAUAUUAAGGCUUACUUAAUACUUCUAAUCCUCAGUUUUCUCAUUUGUGAAACAGAGGUAAUAAUAAUUGUUUUAUUUUACCUGACAAGAUUCUUGUGAAGAAGAAAGGAAGGAAGUAAAGAUAACAGGAAAAGAGGAAGAACAAAAACAAGCAAUGAAAGAAAGAAGGAAAGCAAGAAGGAAGAAAGAAAAAAGGAGGAAGGAGGGAAAGAAAAUAGGAAAGAAGAAAGGAUGAAGAGAAAGAAAGAAAAAGAGAAGGAAUGAGGAAAUAAAGAAAGAAAAAAGGAAGAGAGGAAAGAAGGAGGAAGAAAAAAGGAAGUAAGGAAGUGGAAAAACUGAGGCUUGAAGAGAUGAAGUAAUUUCAUGGUUCCCACAGCUAAAGAUGAGAAGAUUGAAGGCAUGAUGACACAUAGGAGAAACAAAAGAUGCGAAGAUUCUACAACUCAUUCAAGAUGGUGCUAUGAUUUUGACUCUAUGAUUCCAAGCAUCCAGGAGGUAAAUCAACUGCCUGGAUAUUAAAGAGGUAAGAUAACUUAUCCAAACUCUGAUAAGCUCUAGAAGGAGGACUUGAACUCUUGUCUUCUGAAU
Molecule: long non-coding RNA, 745 nt
Filed under: Monodelphis domestica (gray short-tailed opossum)
Lineage: Eukaryota; Metazoa; Chordata; Mammalia; Didelphimorphia; Didelphidae
Description: lncRNA (ENSMODG00000039501.1)
Source: RNAcentral